RNAcentral lists this ribosomal RNA (765 nucleotides) under Halomonas sp. RNAcentral's name for it is "bacterial SSU rRNA". It matches the Rfam family "Bacterial small subunit ribosomal RNA", at positions 25 to 796 of the family's 1533-position model. The record is from RNAcentral. Lineage: Bacteria; Pseudomonadati; Pseudomonadota; Gammaproteobacteria; Oceanospirillales; Halomonadaceae.
CGGGGAAUGGGGGCGGCUACACAUGCAGUCGAGCGGUAACAGAUCCAGCUUGCUGGAUGCUGACGAGCGGCGGACGGGUGAGUAAUGCAUAGGAAUCUGCCCGAUAGUGGGGGAUAACCUGGGGAAACCCAGGCUAAUACCGCAUACGUCCUACGGGAGAAAGGGGGCUUCGGCUCCCGCUAUCGGAUGAGCCUAUGUCGGAUUAGCUAGUUGGUGAGGUAACGGCUCACCAAGGCGACGAUCCGUAGCUGGUCUGAGAGGAUGAUCAGCCACAUCGGGACUGAGACACGGCCCGAACUCCUACGGGAGGCAGCAGUGGGGAAUAUUGGACAAUGGGGGGAACCCUGAUCCAGCCAUGCCGCGUGUGUGAAGAAGGCCCUCGGGUUGUAAAGCACUUUCAGCGAGGAAGAACGCCUAGCGGUUAAUACCCGCUAGGAAAGACAUCACUCGCAGAAGAAGCACCGGCUAACUCCGUGCCAGCAGCCGCGGUAAUACGGAGGGUGCAAGCGUUAAUCGGAAUUACUGGGCGUAAAGCGCGCGUAGGUGGCUUGAUAAGCCGGUUGUGAAAGCCCCGGGCUCAACCUGGGAACGGCAUCCGGAACUGUCAAGCUAGAGUGCAGGAGAGGAAGGUAGAAUUCCCGGUGUAGCGGUGAAAUGCGUAGAGAUCGGGAGGAAUACCAGUGGCGAAGGCGGCCUUCUGGACUGACACUGACACUGAGGUGCGAAAGCGUGGGUAGCAAACAGGAUUAGAUACCUGGGUAGUCG